Molecule: unclassified non-coding RNA, 225 nt
Filed under: plant metagenome
Description: partial contains small subunit ribosomal RNA, internal transcribed spacer 1, and 5.8S ribosomal RNA
Source: RNAcentral
UCUCCGUUGGUGAGCCAGCGGAGGGAUCAUUACAGGACUCGCAAGACUCCUACAACCCUGUGAACUUAACUAUAAGCACGUUGCUUCGGCGGGUGUCUCGGAGGGGGUUCUCCCUCCCCGAGACGCUAAACCCGCCGGCAGCCUACUAUACUCUGUCUCUUUGCGUUGGCAUCUCGAGUACAAUCAAACAAGUCAAAACUUUCAACAACGGAUCUCUUGGUUCUG